UAGCCUCUUCCUGUCCCACCAGCCCGCCCUUGGCCAUAAAAGCUGCAACCUCUUACAGAAUAAGCCAGACUUGAUUGGGCUUUCUCAAGUUGUCUCCGCCUCUCUCUCCUCUUGUCAUUUGCCCCCCCAUUCCGUUCCUCCACCAGGUGAGACCCACGGAUUGAUCCCUGGGCCCGAUCAAGUGGCUCCCAAACGUGGGGCUCCCGGGAUAGGGGAUUCAACGCGGGACCGUUCGUGAGAGCUGCAGCAACUACUCCGGACUCCGUCCCUGAGACCUGCGCGGGCGGCCGCCUGACGCCUCGCCUGAGUCACGACAAUGUUGGCUUUCGUGUAGAUCACUGUCGGACUCCUAAUGCAACUACAUCUGACAAAAGAACACAGUGACCCACAUCAGCCCUGGAAGUGGACUCUCAGAUAUUAGGAAGACCAUAAGGUUGUCACUACCUGAACAGGAUCAGGAAACCCAAACUUUAAAGCCUAUUCCUGUGACCUUGGUCCUACAGACCCAUGCCUCAACUUAAUACCCGUAUACGUUUGCCCUGCUUCCACCGGGGGUAGAACAUACUGCAGUUACCUGGGACACUCUUAUUGUGCCUAUUGGGGCUGCAAAACCGCAGCGACAGGCUGAACCCCCUCUAUUCGUGACAAAGACCUCCAAUUAGGAUGGUGGCCACAGGGGUACAAACCAUUUGAUUGGUGGUAUGGGGGAGUAGUGACCUGUCAAUACCUAGAAAUCAAUGUCACCACACCCAGUGACCCCAGCUGGCUACAGGGACAAACCUGGGGUUUUCGAUAUUAUGAAAAAAGCACAGACAGGGGAGGCCUUAUUUGCAUAAAAAAAAGAGCCACUACCCUUACCUCCUGUGAAAGUGGGCCCAAAAUAAAGCCCUUAACCCAAAGUCAGGCGCCCCCGCUAAAGCCCCCAACCCACCAAGGGCCCACAAUCCCCAAGCCAAAUCCCCACCAACUAUUCAAGCUCCCACUUUAACCACCCCCCCCAACAUUUCCCCACCCAAGGACUCCACUCAUCCUUCAGGUUCUAACCUCUGACUUAAUUUCAGGAGCCUAUCAUGCUUUAAAUCUAACACAGCCUAAUCUGACCCAGUCUUGCUGGUUAUGCUUGGCCACCCCUCCCCCAUGUUACGAGGGAAAGGCACUCAACACGACCUUCGCUACGUCCUCUGACGCGAGCGCCUGCUAUUGGACCGUCCACAAUAAAAUAACCCUCCCCGACAUCUCUGGACAGGGUACCUGUCUUGGUAGGAAAGACCACUGGCCCCAACAACAAAGAAAACUAUGUGCUCGAUUUCAUACAAAUUUCCCUAGCAAUCAAUACCAUAUCCCACCCCAAGGAACAUUUUGGGCCUGUAAUACUGGCCUCUCUUUCUGCAUAUCAACUAAUGUUUUUAACCAGUCGGCUGACUUUUGCAUUCUUGUCUAGGUCCUUCCCCUGGACAAAAUGGUAUAAUUUACCAUUCUGACAAUCUCUUUUUCCAGGAUUUACAAGGCACUUACAGAGUCAAAAGAGAACCCGUGUCCCUAACCUUGGCUGCGCUGCUAGGGCUGGGGGUUGUGGCGGGGGUGGGGACAGGAACUGCAGCACUGGUAGUACAAGAGGCCCGCUUGUCCCAACAACAGGUGGCCAUAGACCAAGACCUAAAAGAAAUAGAGACAUCUAUAACAGCCCUACAAAAGUCCUUAACAUCUUUAUCUGAACUAGUCCUACAAAAUAGAAGAGGACUAGACCUCCUAUUUCUAAAGGAGGGUGGUCUAUGCGCUGCCCUCAAAGAAGAAUGUUGCUUUUAUGCAGACCACUCAGGAGUUGUCAAAGACUCCAUGACCAAAUUAAGAGAACGCCUCAAAAAUAGAGAAAGCGCCUCAGAGAAGACACCGUCUCCUCCAUGUGGGGAGGCCUUUUUCCCUAUUAUCACCCCCCUAUUAGGACCACUAGCUGCCUUAUUGCUGCUUGUCACUGUAGGCACUUGGAUCUUUCAGAGGAUCAUGACGAUCAUAAAUAGGAUAGAUGCAUUCAUGGCAAAACCCAUUCAGGUACAUUAUCAUCAGCUGGAGGUGGCAGAGCGACAGACAUAUCGGGAAAUGACACCCGCUAGUGGCCCAUAACAGUGUGGUCCCAAUGCCUUGAGGCACUGGACAGGCAGCCAAAGACGGCAACUUGGACAUUUAUGUCAUACCACUGGCCGCCUAAGACAGGCUCAGGACCAACUGCUGUCCUGUAAGCCCACGACAGGUAAGGUCUGGUUGGGUUCUUUCGAGAGGUCCACGACCUAAGACAGGUGCUGUCCUCACAAGGCUUGCCAUGCUCCUAAGCUUAUAGAAUAAAAAGGGAGGAGAUGUAGAGAGCAGGGUGAUGAUCUCACUGCCGCCACCUCAUUUCCUUUUCCCUUGGGUGCCAACUACAUCUGCCUACAUUACCCAAGAGCCUCUCCUGUCUACCUCACCCAAACGAGACGGCUGCCUACCAGAGAUCACCACAUAGCCUCUUCCUGUCCCACUAGCCCGCCCUUGGCCCAUAAAAGCUGCAACCUCUUCCUGAAUAAAUGAGAUUUGAUUGGACUUCAA
Molecule: long non-coding RNA, 2580 nt
Organism: Cavia porcellus (domestic guinea pig)
Lineage: Eukaryota; Metazoa; Chordata; Mammalia; Rodentia; Caviidae
Exons: 2
Source: RefSeq, a predicted model, not a curated record